UGGAGCAUGUGGUUUAAUUCGACGCAACGCGAAGAACCUUACCAGGUCUUGACAUCCCUGACAACCCGAGAGAUCGGCGUUCCCCUUGGGGACAGGGUGACAGGUGGUGCAUGGUUGUCGUCAGCUCGUGUCGUGAGAUGUUGGGUUAAGUCCCGCAACGAGCGCAACCCUCGACCUUAGUUGCCAGCAUUCAGUUUGGGCACUCUAAGGUGACUGCCGGCUAAAAGUCGGAGGAAGGUGGGGAUGACGUCAAAUCAUCAUGCCCCUUAUGACCUGGGCUACACACGUGCUACAAUGGGCGGUACAAAGGGUCGCGAACCCGCGAGGGGGAGCCAAUCCCAAAAAGCCGCUCUCAGUUCGGAUUGCAGGCUGCAACUCGCCUGCAUGAAGCCGGAAUCGCUAGUAAUCGCGGAUCAGCAUGCCGCGGUGAAUACGUUCCCGGGCCUU
Molecule: ribosomal RNA, 447 nt
Filed under: uncultured Anoxybacillus sp.
Lineage: Bacteria; Bacillati; Bacillota; Bacilli; Caryophanales; Anoxybacillaceae
Description: bacterial SSU rRNA
Rfam family: Bacterial small subunit ribosomal RNA
Source: RNAcentral